GUAGGUGGCAAGCGUUGUCCGGAAUUAUUGGGCGUAAAGCGCGCGCAGGCGGUUCUUUAAGUCUGAUGUGAAAGCCCACGGCUCAACCGUGGAGGGUCAUUGGAAACUGGAGAACUUGAGUACAGAAGAGGAAAGCGGAAUUCCACGUGUAGCGGUGAAAUGCGUAGAGAUGUGGAGGAACACCAGUGGCGAAGGCGGCUUUCUGGUCUGUAACUGACGCUGAGGCGCGAAAGCGUGGGGAGCAAACAGGAUUAGAUACCCUGGUAGUCCACGCCGUAAACGAUGAGUGCUAAGUGUUAGGGGGUUUCCGCCCCCCUUAGUGCUGCAGCUAACGCAUUAACGCACUCCGCCUGGGAGUACGGCCGCAAGGCUG
This 373-nucleotide ribosomal RNA is filed under the name uncultured organism. RNAcentral describes it as "partial 16S ribosomal RNA". It matches the Rfam family "Bacterial small subunit ribosomal RNA", at positions 527 to 896 of the family's 1533-position model. The record is from RNAcentral.